This is a long non-coding RNA of Oreochromis aureus, 867 nucleotides long. The record is from Ensembl. Lineage: Eukaryota; Metazoa; Chordata; Actinopteri; Cichliformes; Cichlidae.
UCUUUCUGCUGCUCCGAGCUCGCCAUCUUGUGGACACCAGCAGAACCUACAAACAGAGCCACAGGAAGCGUUUCUUUUAAAAACAGCAGAUCGAGCGACCUGAGAGACUGUUCAUCAAGCUGAAUUCAGGUUAUUUGUUGUGAAAGCUCCACAGGUUCAGAGAGGAAUGGUCUGCUUAAAACUAUUUCAGCUGGGAGGCUCUGCUUUGCUGCUCAGAAAAUGAAGCUGCUCACACUCAGCAUGAUGUGAUGUGGUGGAGAGAGGAACAGGAAAAUAACAACACAAAGAUGCUGAACAGCUGAUGGAGUUUCUCAUCAGUGGAGACUUUGAGGCUGAUGUGGAACAGGAACGGUACUGGGCCAGGCCGAACACCAGCCAUCCCCACCCUAGGGACAGACACGGGUGCAAGGACGAGCUGGGCUCUGGCUGCCUUUGCCCUGGGAGCCGGUGUAGGUGCGGGAGCUAGCUGGACCUCUGCUGCUUCCACCCGAGAAACUGAGACGGGUGCAGGAGUCAGCAGGGUCACAGUUGACCUCAUCUGGGGAGCCGGAACAGGCGCAGGCGACGGCUGGGUGUCCAUCAACCCCACCCGAGGAGCAGGUACGGGUGCAGGGAUGAAUGGAGCCUCUGCCAGGCUGGGGACAGAAGCAGGGACCAGCUGGACCUCAGCCACCCUCACCCAAGGAACUGAUACGGGUGCAAGGGAAAGCUGGGCCCGUGCUGCCCUGGGAACAGGUACUGGAGUUGGAGAGCUGAGCUCAGGAGCAGUAAGAGACACUGGGAAAACCAAGUUAGUGGAGCCAAACAGUUUCAGCAAACAGACUUAUGGCGGGAUGGUUUUAGCAACUCUGAAGUUUUUAAAACAGU